AUUCACUCGCAAAUACACUCACUCAUGUACAUUCACUCACUUGCAUGUACACUCAAACAUACACUCACCUAUACACUCACUCACAUGUACACUCAAUCACAUAUAAACUCAUUCACAUAUACAUUGACUCACAUGUACAAAGACAUAUACACUCACAUGUACACUCACAUGUACACUCAAUCACAUAUACACUCACCCACAUGUACACUCACUCACAUGUACACUCACCCACAUAUACACUCACUCACAUGUACACUCAGGUAUCGACUCACACACUCACUCAACCAGUCACCCAUUCAGCCUCUCACUCCACCACACGAACCUUUUGUUCCACUCAAACCGCCCAUCUCUCGAUUCCCUCCAAAACGGGAAGUUGGCUCGGCUCAUCCUGUGGAUCUAUCGUCGAAUACGCGUGAAGAAGAUUCCAUUGUCGGUGGUUACACGAGGUGGACGCGUCGGGGGGGGGGGUGGUUGCCUCCGAAGCUCAACACGUGGAUGAUGAUGAUGAUGGUGAACAAGAAGAGAUGGUCAUCGAUGUUUGAGACAACCACGGACGAAACGGGUUGCGCCACGGUGGCUGGGUGGGUGGUGGGUGGUGGUCGACAUCGUUGGAGGGAGACUCGGCCCCAAUGGGCGGAUGGAGACCGCCGAGGACGUGGAUGAGAGAAGUGGAGCGCGCACAAUCUCAGCGCUCACCAGGCCUCGAUUAAAGUGACGCGGGGUGGUGGCGCUAAUUUUCAUUCGCGUCUCCGAGCGCGUGGUGGAAAUUCCACAUUCGCAAGACAGGAGCACGUCCAUCAAUCGGCCGAUUUACUGUUGUUGUCUGAAAGUAGUAAUAAUCUAUGUGUAUAUAUGCAAAUAAAGAUAUGUAUAUAUGUU
Petromyzon marinus (sea lamprey) is the source of this 879-nucleotide non-coding RNA. NCBI's taxonomy places the organism in Eukaryota, Metazoa, Chordata, Hyperoartia, Petromyzontiformes, Petromyzontidae. The record is from RefSeq and is a predicted model, not a curated record.